This 323-nucleotide ribosomal RNA is filed under the name uncultured eukaryote. RNAcentral's name for it is "partial 18S ribosomal RNA". It matches the Rfam family "Eukaryotic small subunit ribosomal RNA", at positions 1470 to 1796 of the family's 1831-position model. The record is from RNAcentral.
CCCCUAGAUGUUCUGGGCCGCACGCGCGCUACACUGAACAGUUCAACAAGUCUUAACCUUGGCCGAUAGGUCUGGGUAAUCUUUGAACGCUGUUCGUGAUUGGGAUAGACCUUUGCAAUUAUGGGUCUUCAACGAGGAAUUCCUAGUAAACGCAAGUCAUCAGCUUGCAUUGAUUACGUCCCUGCCCUUUGUACACACCGCCCGUCGCACCUACCGAUUGAAUGGUCCGGUGAAAUCUCCGGACUGGCGUGAGUCGGAGCAAUCUGACAAACGCCGGAAAGUUGAUUAAACCUUACCAUUUAGAGGAAGGUGAAGUCGUAACA